Molecule: ribosomal RNA, 429 nt
Filed under: Acidobacteriota bacterium
Lineage: Bacteria; Pseudomonadati; Acidobacteriota
Description: Acidobacteria bacterium partial 16S ribosomal RNA
Rfam family: Bacterial small subunit ribosomal RNA
Source: RNAcentral
UGGGGAAUUUUGGACAAUGGGGGAAACCCUGAUCCAGCCAUCCCGCGUGUGCGAUGAAGGCCUUCGGGUUGUAAAGCACUUUUGGUAGGAAAGAAACGUCAUGGGUUAAUACCCCGUGAAACUGACGGUACCUGCAGAAUAAGCACCGGCUAACUACGUGCCAGCAGCCGCGGUAAUACGUAGGGUGCAAGCGUUAAUCGGAAUUACUGGGCGUAAAGCGUGCGCAGGCGGUUCGGAAAGAAAGGUGUGAAAUCCCAGAGCUCAACUUUGGAACUGCAUUUUUAACUACCUGGCUAGAGUGUGUCAGAGGGAGGUGGAAUUCCGCGUGUAGCAGUGAAAUGCGUAGAUAUGCGGAGGAACACCGAUGGCGAAGGCAGCCUCCUGGGAUAACACUGACGCUCAUGCACGAAAGCGUGGGGAGCAAACAGG